This 253-nucleotide ribosomal RNA is filed under the name uncultured bacterium. Its description in RNAcentral is "partial 16S ribosomal RNA". It matches the Rfam family "Bacterial small subunit ribosomal RNA", at positions 524 to 776 of the family's 1533-position model. The record is from RNAcentral.
UACGUAUGGGGCGAGCGUUGUUCAGAAUUAUUGGGCGUAAAGGGCGUCUAGGUGGGGGAUUAAGUUAGAUGUGAAAUCCCUGGGCUCAACCCAGGAAUUGCAUCUAAAACUGGUUCUCUUGAGUUCGGGAGAGGAGAGCGGAAUUCCCGGUGUAGCGGUGAAAUGCGUAGAUAUCGGGAAGAACACCAGUGGCGAAGGCGGCUCUCUGGCCUAGAACUGACACUGAAGCGCGAAAGCGUGGGGAGCGAACGGG